Long non-coding RNA from Solanum stenotomum, 3301 nucleotides. RefSeq lists it as uncharacterized. The transcript is spliced from 3 exons. The record is from RefSeq and is a predicted model, not a curated record. NCBI's taxonomy places the organism in Eukaryota, Viridiplantae, Streptophyta, Magnoliopsida, Solanales, Solanaceae.
ACAUAUAAUGUAGGAAUCUGUGGCAACAGACGGUGGGCUACAUUUGCCAAAGCAAAAGAGUGAGAACUAUCUAAUCUUGUACAGCUGUGAAAAUUUUCAAGUCUGAUAGUUGACAAAGUGAAGAGCAGAACUCUUAAUGGGCAAUGGGAGGGGAAGUGGAGUGUAGCCAAUGAAUGCAAAAUUGUCAUGGCUGCAUGUGUUGUCUGGGUAGUAUCCUCAAAAUCAGACCUCGAGCUAUGUUGGUUUAUUUGAUUUAAGCUCAUUUACUAUGAUUUUCAUACUUAAUUUUGCUAUUUGAUUUUUCGUCUGAUUUAUUCAUCAGUUAGUACUUGUGAUUUUAGUGUAGUUUCUUUAGCAGUUCCCUUUUGAAUCUGCUUUUCUAGAAGUAGGUUUUAUUAACUGUAUGCUUCUGUAUUAUUCAUUCAAGUAGGGUUAUCAACUGUAUGCUUUUCCAUGUAUUAUCCAUUCGUAUGCAAGCAUGGAUACAUCUCUCACUAACCUUCUGCUCUCCAAACCCCUCCCUCAAACCAUGAAAUAAGAGAGAAAAAUAGAACAUAUGAAAAGAUUGAUCAGUUCCUUCCGUCUGAAAGGUUGACUUGCAUGAUAUGCUACUGUGGUCAGAAUAGAUAUAUAUAUAUUUCUAACUCUAUAAUAAGUACCGGUCUCCAAGUCCUUUGUCAUCCAGGGUUAUGUUGGUAAUUUCAAUUUGAAACCCCUUGUAAAACCAAUAUAGGAAAGAUUCUGUUCUAAAUUGAUAUUAGUACACGCGUAUUUUCUUAUGAUACCUGUUUCACACUUCUCUUCCUUCAUAUCAAUAGUCAAUACUUUGUCGAGUCUGCUAAAGGCCCCCAUUUUCAUUUCCUGCUCUUACAUUUGUUUCUCCUUUGCUUAUGGUUUUCCUUUUAAGGUUGUUUUUGGAAAUUUCUUACUGUCAUGCUUUUUCUGUUCUCUUUGGUUUUCACUCUUUUUUACCACUAAGUCAGCUCUUGUUGUGCUGAAAUAAAGCCUUGACAAUCCCAAAUGCUACCCUACAAACAUCAAAUGCAAGCCAAACAAGUAAAUGCAACUCUUCACUCUCUGUUUGUGUUACCUUCUUACAUAACCUUCUGUUACAAGGCAUUCACAGUAGAAUCUUUAUGUGAAAUCAACUUGGUACAUACAAAGUUUCUCAAGCUUAUAUACCGUAUGAACAAGAAUUGUUGGCAACUUUUUUUUACUUCAAAGCUUCAGUUGAUUUUGUAAUUUUAAUUUGAACAUUUGAUAGUCAAGAGUAAAUGCAACUGUAAUAAAAAUGAUACCAGAAACUAUUCUUAGAAUGCAUAUCUUUGGUGUUGAGAAUAGGUCACACAACUUGAGUUAAUUAAAAUCUCCAUUUCUUUUUGCUACUUUCAACUUCUCUACAAAAGUAUUGUAACCACCAUUUCCCUGUUAGUGUCUUCAGGUUUUCUACAAAGCUCCUAAACAAGUGUGGUCAGUGUAGAGCUGUGUUUGCUUCUACAUUAUGACAAGGUAAUGCUAGUGUGCGGUGAGCGAGCAUGCUAUGUGUACAAUUAAGCAAAGAGUUGGUGAAGGUUGGAACGGAAUAUCGUAUGUAGUGUUGAAUGCAAUCUGAACCUCUUUUUACUUUCAGCCCUCAGCUUGGUUCUUCUUCCUCUUUCCUUUUUGUUCACAAUUGUUUCUUAUGUUUUUAUUAAUUUCGGUGUUAUUCAUUUUUGCUCUUUUUGGGUUUUUAAAAUACCAACAGAGCUUCAAUAUUGCUAUUGAUCAUUGAAAUGUUGAAUUGUCUGCCUUUUAUUUUCAUUGAGGAGUUAAAAGUUUAAUUGUAUCAGUUGAAAUUGUGUUUUAAGAUGUCAAAUAAAGUUUGAUUUCAGGGAUGGACCAAACAAUUUGAAAGUUCCGGGUAUACAUGAAAAGAACUACAUAGAAGUUGCUUGAUGAGUGCCUCACACUGAGAGGCUGAUUCUAUGUCCUCUAUAGUCAUGUUACAAUCAAUCGUCUGUCCAAUGGUGACGAGCCAAAUUAUCUCUCUGCAAGUAUGGAAAUGAUACGUGGUACACCCGAUUCUUGACGAACUCAAGAGGCAAAGAGAAUGGUUGGGUGGCGAGGCAUCACUUCUUACGAGGUUUGAUGCUAUUUUAUUGGUUGGGUGGCAAGGCAUCACUUCUUACAAGGUUUGGUGCUAUUUUAUUGGUUGGGUGGCGAGACAUCACUUCUUGCAAAGUGCUUUGUGAAAGAAUACUUAACAAAGGAGGACGUAUAACUGAAGAUAAUUAGACCACCAUACACUCAGGAGUUAAUUAGCUACUCACCUGCAAAGGUAAGCAGUGCUAAAUUGCUAUUCAUUUCUUUAUUUCAGGUAUGUUUUCGAUGUGUCCAUAUAGUAUACAUACAUGUGCAUGCGUAGAUUACAGAAAUAAUUGAUUUACUCGUGAUAUAAAUAGUGAUAUCAGUCACCCAUGCAUAGAACGGGCACUGGUGAUGGGAAUGCAUUCGGGCGAUUCAUAGCAAGUUAAUUGAGAACUAUCUUCAGCUAUGCGCCAACAACAUUUUUGACAGAUUAAUCAUGGUAGGGAGCUCUGCUAAAGUCCUUUCAGAUAUUAAUCGCAUUGCAAAUAUUUUCUCCCGAGGUUGAAAUCUAACUUCCAAAUGCAUACGCUUUCUCUUGUUGCUUUCUGUAAGCGUUCUUUGAGCAAAACUUUAUCUUUAGGCUGAAAUCUUGGAUCAGAAUGUACUUGUGUCACCAGUAUGUGCUUUCCUCAUGUUAUUUUCACAGAUAGAGGGUGGGCUAUUUUUGCCAAGGCAAAAGAGUGAGAACAAUCUAAUCUUGUACAACUGUGUGAAUUUUUGAGUCUGAUAAUUGACAAAGUGAUAGAUCACAACUCUUAAUGGGCAACAAGAGGGGAAGUGGAGUGUAGCCCAAGUAUGUAAAAUUGUCAUGGUGCAUGAGUUGUGGGUAGUAUCCUCAAAGUCAAACCUCGACCUAUAUUGGUUUAUCUGAUCAUUUUUUUUUUUUGUUUUUGAUAACCGAGAAAUUCAUUUGUGACCCGCCCUUUGGACCAAUCACAACCUUCUAAACUCGGUGGAUAUUGGUUUAUCUGAUGUAAGCUCAUUUAUUUUGAUUUUUAUACCUAACUAGUGAAUUUGUCCGCACGAUGAGAAAAAAUUAAUUAAAUAUUUAAAAUAUGUAUCUUUUUCUUUUUUUAAUUUGAAUAUCAAAAGCAUUUUAAUGGUCCUUUCUAGUUUUUAAAUUAAAAUAGAUUCAAUUUAAGUUUUAGUUAUUAUUAAAUUGUAGUUUAACCAA